This 433-nucleotide ribosomal RNA is filed under the name uncultured bacterium. RNAcentral describes it as "partial 16S ribosomal RNA". It matches the Rfam family "Bacterial small subunit ribosomal RNA", at positions 29 to 507 of the family's 1533-position model. The record is from RNAcentral.
AACGAACGCUGGCGGCAUGCCUAACACAUGCAAGUCGAACGAGACCUUCGGGUCUAGUGGCGCACGGGUGCGUAACGCGUGGGAACCUGCCCUUAGGUUCGGAAUAACUCCCCGAAAGGGGUGCUAAUCCCGGAUAAUGUCUUCGGACCAAAGACUUAUCGCCUUUGGAUGGGCCCGCGUUGGAUUAGCUAGUUGGUAGGGUAAAAGCCUACCAAGGCGACGAUCCAUAGCUGGUCUGAGAGGAUGAUCAGCCACACUGGGACUGAGACACGGCCCAGACUCCUACGGGAGGCAGCAGUGAGGAAUAUUGGACAAUGGGCGAAAGCCUGAUCCAGCAAUGCCGCGUGAGUGAUGAAGGCCUUAGGGUUGUAAAGCUCUUUUACCCGGGAUGAUAAUGACAGUACCGGGAGAAUAAGCGCCGGCUAACUCCGUG